GACGAACGCUGGCGGGCGUGCCUAAUACAUGCAAGUCGAGCGAAGUUUUUCUGGUGCUUGCGCUAGAAAAACUUAGCGGCGAACGGGUGAGUAACACGUAAAGAACCUGCCUCAUAGACUGGGACAACUAUUGGAAACGAUAGCUAAUACCGGAUAACAGUAUUUCUCGCAUGAGAGAUAUUUAAAAGUUGGUUAUGCUAACACUAUGAGAUGGCUUUGCGGUGCAUUAGCUAGUUGGUGGGGUAAAGGCCCACCAAGGCGACGAUGCAUAGCCGACCUGAGAGGGUGAUCGGCCACACUGGGACUGAGACACGGCCCAGACUCCUACGGGAGGCAGCAGUAGGGAAUCUUCCGCAAUGGGCGAAAGCCUGACGGAGCAACGCCGCGUGAGUGAAGAAGGAUUUCGGUUCGUAAAGCUCUGUUGUUAGGGAAGAAUGGAUAUGUAGUAACUAUACAUGUACGAGACGGUACCUAACCAGAA
RNAcentral lists this ribosomal RNA (481 nucleotides) under Gemella morbillorum. Its description in RNAcentral is "bacterial SSU rRNA". It matches the Rfam family "Bacterial small subunit ribosomal RNA", at positions 28 to 488 of the family's 1533-position model. The record is from RNAcentral. Lineage: Bacteria; Bacillati; Bacillota; Bacilli; Caryophanales; Gemellaceae.